UUUACAUUUCUGGUCAAUUAUUAGUACAGUUAUUUAUAAUUUAAUCUGAAAGUUGUGCUACUUGGUUUAUUUUUAAUAGAAUUUAGGAAAUGCCAACCUUGGUGUUUCGUUAUUUUACAAAAUAAUAAUUAAGAGAAUAUAAGAGUGGAAUUUCUCUAGGGAAUGGGUUGGAAAAUAUGUAGUUAUAUUUUUCAUAUCAAGUUAUAAAUGGAUUAAAGUUUGGCCAUUGUAUUCAAAGUUUGGAGCUAAGGCAGUCUUCGG
RNAcentral lists this long non-coding RNA (261 nucleotides) under Homo sapiens (human). RNAcentral describes it as "HSALNT0240145". The record is from RNAcentral. Lineage: Eukaryota; Metazoa; Chordata; Mammalia; Primates; Hominidae.